UACGUAGGGUGCAAGCGUUAAUCGGAAUUACUGGGCGUAAAGCGUGCGCAGGCGGUUAUGUAAGACAGAUGUGAAAUCCCCGGGCUCAACCUGGGAACUGCAUUUGUGACUGCAUAGCUGGAGUACGGUAGAGGGGGAUGGAAUUCCGCGUGUAGCAGUGAAAUGCGUAGAUAUGCGGAGGAACACCGAUGGCGAAGGCAAUCCCCUGGGCCUGCACUGACGCUCAUGCACGAAAGCGUGGGGAGCAAACAGG
Molecule: ribosomal RNA, 253 nt
Filed under: uncultured bacterium
Lineage: Bacteria
Description: partial 16S ribosomal RNA
Rfam family: Bacterial small subunit ribosomal RNA
Source: RNAcentral